Molecule: long non-coding RNA, 672 nt
Filed under: Musa acuminata (dwarf banana)
Lineage: Eukaryota; Viridiplantae; Streptophyta; Magnoliopsida; Zingiberales; Musaceae
Description: long non-coding RNA (MACU_LNC005966)
Source: RNAcentral
GAGGAUUUGAAAGCAGAAAUCCUCCACCAGGGGUGACCCAAAAACAAAAAAGUCUCAUGAAUGGAGGUAGAUUCCCUCUCGAUCCACACUUGAACUGUCAUGUGCUCUUCCCAAUGACUGUCCUCCCUCCCUAACUGCAGUCACAAAGUACUUCCCAUCUCUAAGCCAAAAAAGAAAAAAAAAAAGAGAGCUCACAGCAACAUCGGUAGUGGUUUUUGUCAUUGAGAUUAGGAAAAGUACAAACCAUGUCGAUUGAGAUCCUUAGUAAUGGAUUGGUUUGUAGCCUUGCGCUUGUCUUCUUCCCCCUCCUCACAGCUCAUGUCUCACGAACUCCUCUCUCUCUCUCUCUCUAUUUCCUUCUUCCUGGACAAUGAUUCUUUCUCCUGUCCUUGGAGAGCAUACAAACUGUCAAGAACAAGCUCAUUAACCAUGUGGGCCAAUCAUGGGUUUGCAGAUCAGCACUGUAGCAUUUUAAAUAUCAGAAUGUGGAGGAGCCAAAUCUGUCACGCACACAUAUUAAAUUGCGUGGAUACAGGUGGACAGUAAUGAGGUGGGUCAUCGAGCUGCACCCUCUGCCUGCAUUAUCUACUCAAAACAAUUGCAGCUACGCAGCUUUAUGGGGGAGCUUACUAAAAGCCUUCUUGCCGGUGGCUGCGAUGCAUCAAAUCUCAU